RNAcentral lists this ribosomal RNA (202 nucleotides) under uncultured bacterium. Its description in RNAcentral is "partial 16S ribosomal RNA". It matches the Rfam family "Bacterial small subunit ribosomal RNA", at positions 130 to 334 of the family's 1533-position model. The record is from RNAcentral.
CCGAUGGAGGGGGAUAACUACUGGAAACGGUAGCCAAUACCGCAUAACGUCGCAAGACCAAAGAGGGGGACCUUCGGGCCUCUUGCCAUCGGAUGUGCCCAGAUGGGAUUAGCUAGUAGGUGGGGUAACGGCUCACCUAGGCGACGAUCCCUAGCUGGUCUGAGAGGAUGACCAGCCACACUGGAACUGAGACACGGUCCAG